This 707-nucleotide ribosomal RNA is filed under the name Micrococcus luteus. Its description in RNAcentral is "bacterial SSU rRNA". It matches the Rfam family "Bacterial small subunit ribosomal RNA", at positions 77 to 799 of the family's 1533-position model. Lineage: Bacteria; Bacillati; Actinomycetota; Actinomycetes; Micrococcales; Micrococcaceae. The record is from RNAcentral.
AGCUUGCUGGGUGGAUUAGUGGCGAACGGGUGAGUAACACGUGAGUAACCUGCCCUUAACUCUGGGAUAAGCCUGGGAAACUGGGUCUAAUACCGGAUAGGAGCGUCCACCGCAUGGUGGGUGUUGGAAAGAUUUAUCGGUUUUGGAUGGACUCGCGGCCUAUCAGCUUGUUGGUGAGGUAAUGGCUCACCAAGGCGACGACGGGUAGCCGGCCUGAGAGGGUGACCGGCCACACUGGGACUGAGACACGGCCCAGACUCCUACGGGAGGCAGCAGUGGGGAAUAUUGCACAAUGGGCGCAAGCCUGAUGCAGCGACGCCGCGUGAGGGAUGACGGCCUUCGGGUUGUAAACCUCUUUCAGUAGGGAAGAAGCGAAAGUGACGGUACCUGCAGAAGAAGCACCGGCUAACUACGUGCCAGCAGCCGCGGUAAUACGUAGGGUGCGAGCGUUAUCCGGAAUUAUUGGGCGUAAAGAGCUCGUAGGCGGUUUGUCGCGUCUGUCGUGAAAGUCCGGGGCUUAACCCCGGAUCUGCGGUGGGUACGGGCAGACUANAGUGCANUAGGGGAGACUGGAAUUCCUGGUGUAGCGGUGGAAUGCGCANAUAUCAGAGGAACACCGAUGGCGAAGGCAGGUCUCUGGGCUGUAACUGACGCUGAGGAGCGAAAGCAUGGGGAGCGAACAGGAUUANAUACCCUGGUAGUCCAUG